AUACGGAGGAUGCGAGCGUUAUCCGGAUUUAUUGGGUUUAAAGGGUGCGUAGGCGGGCUGUUAAGCGUGAGGUGAAAGCUCGGGGCUCAACCCCGGAACUGCCUCGCGAACUGGCGGUCUUGAAUGUCCGUGCCGUGGGUGGGAUGUGUGGUGGAGCGGUGAAAUGCAUAGAGAUCACACAGAACACCGAAUUAGAAGGCAGCUCACGAACGGAUGAUGGACGCUGAGGCACGAAAGCGUGGGGAUCAAACAGGAUGAGAUACCCUGGUAGUCCACGCAGUAAACGAUGAUAACUAACCGCUGGUAAGUAAUUAUCAGUGGCCAAGCGAAAGCGAUAAGUUAUCCACCUGGGGAGUACGACCGCAAGGUUGAAACUCAAAGUAAUUGACGGGG
This 393-nucleotide ribosomal RNA is filed under the name uncultured bacterium. Its description in RNAcentral is "partial 16S ribosomal RNA". It matches the Rfam family "Bacterial small subunit ribosomal RNA", at positions 523 to 918 of the family's 1533-position model. The record is from RNAcentral.